RNAcentral lists this ribosomal RNA (247 nucleotides) under uncultured bacterium. Its description in RNAcentral is "partial 16S ribosomal RNA". It matches the Rfam family "Bacterial small subunit ribosomal RNA", at positions 114 to 354 of the family's 1533-position model. The record is from RNAcentral.
CACAUGGGUAACCUGCCCUAAAGUCUGGGAUACCACUUGGAAACAGGUGCUAAUACCGGAUAACAACAAUAGCUGCAUGGCUAUUGCUUAAAAGGCGGCGAAAGCUGUCGCUAAAGGAUGGACCCGCGGUGCAUUAGCUAGUUGGUAAGGUAAUGGCUUACCAAGGCGACGAUGCAUAGCCGAGUUGAGAGACUGAUCGGCCACAUUGGGACUGAGACACGGCCCAAACUCCUACGGAAGGCAGCAG